This 253-nucleotide ribosomal RNA is filed under the name uncultured bacterium. RNAcentral's name for it is "partial 16S ribosomal RNA". It matches the Rfam family "Bacterial small subunit ribosomal RNA", at positions 524 to 776 of the family's 1533-position model. The record is from RNAcentral.
UACGGGGGGGGCAAGCGUUGUUCGGAAUUACUGGGCGUAAAGGGCGCGUAGGCGGCCUGCUAAGUCACACGUGAAAUCCCUCGGCUCAACCGGGGAACUGCGUGUGAUACUGGCGGGCUUGAAUUCGGGAGAGGGAUGUGGAAUUCCAGGUGUAGCGGUGAAAUGCGUAGAGAUCGGGAGGAACACCUGUGGCGAAGGCGGCCGACUGGGCCGACCCUGACGCUGAGGCGCGAAGGCGUGGGGAGCGAACGGG